This 483-nucleotide ribosomal RNA is filed under the name uncultured bacterium. Its description in RNAcentral is "partial 16S ribosomal RNA". It matches the Rfam family "Bacterial small subunit ribosomal RNA", at positions 29 to 507 of the family's 1533-position model. The record is from RNAcentral.
AUUGAACGCUGGCGGAAUGCUUUACACAUGCAAGUCGAGCGGCAGCACGGGGGCAACCCUGGUGGCGAGCGGCGCACGGGUGAGUAAUACAUCGGAACAUGCUCAGUCGUGGGGGAUAACACUUCGAAAGAAGUGCUAAUACCGCAUACGUCCUGAGGGGGAAAGCGGGGGAUCGCAAGACCUCGCGCGAUUGGAGUGGCCGAUGUCCGAUUAGCUAGUUGGUGGGGUAAAGGCCUACCAAGGCAACGAUCUGUAGCUGGUCUGAGAGGAUGAUCAGCCACACAGGGACUGAGACACGGCCCAGACUCCGACGGGAGGCAGCAGUGGGGAAUUUUGGAAAAUGGGGGGAACCCUGAACCAGCCAUGCCGGGUGGGUGAAGAAGGCCUGCGGGUUGUAAAGCUCUUUCGGCAGGAACGAAACGGUGAGCUCUAACAUAGCUUGCUAAUGACGGAACUGAAGAAGAAGCACCGGCUAACUACGUG